Petromyzon marinus (sea lamprey) is the source of this 6685-nucleotide non-coding RNA. Lineage: Eukaryota; Metazoa; Chordata; Hyperoartia; Petromyzontiformes; Petromyzontidae. The record is from RefSeq and is a predicted model, not a curated record.
CACAGACAGACCCACUGACACAUCACACACAGACCCACUGACACACACAGACCCACUGACACAUCACACACAGACCCACAGACACACGAGUACACACACGUGCAUUGAUGCACACGCACGCACGGGCGCCCUUCUCCGUGAGCUGUUUUUGGACCCUGAGUUUGUAACGCGGUGCGGCCAAAGCACGUGUGAGUGCACACUUACGCGUGCGUGCGUGCACACACGUGUGUUCAUGCACACGAGUUCACGCGCAUACAUGCACGCGCGUGGCCCCGCGUAAGACGCCUCUGUGGGCUCACGUGUACGCACUGCACACUUGAUAUUGUUUUGGGUUGUGUUUCGUUUUCUUUACUCAUAUAUAUUAAACAAGUAAUUAUUAUAAGGCAGUGUUUCGAAUCAGAAUGCCAUACAUAAUAAUGACACUUUUUGUUCCUGCUAUUAUAAGUAUAUGCCUAUUAGAUGCGCAAAAUUGCACACGCGCGCGCGCGGACACACUUUGCACACGUGCGAUGUACUUGUACGCGCACGUGUGUAUAGUACACCGAUCGCAUUUGCUUAGUUGCCGACUGGCUCGCUUGCCCGUCUGCUUCGCGUGAGUUCACGACAGUGUGAAACCCUAUAUAUAUAGAAGUUGGUUCUUUGGUUGGUAUAGACUCUGUGGGCUAGUGUACAACUCGAAUGAAAUAUCGCAUCCGUAAGUUUUAACAAAAAAAUCUACCGGUUUUUUUUGGCACUGGACGAUCGUGGUCGACAAAUUUACAGGUGGCACGAAAAGUUUUUUUUGUGUUCAUUUCAGAUGUGCCAUGCUUAUGCGUACACCGCAGGGAGAUGGAGCGAUGUAAUCAACUCUAUACAGGUGCUGGGUGGAUCGUCGCAUCGCGGGAUAGUGAAGGGGAUGGUGCCGGAUGGUGGGGAGGCCUUCAUUCAGCAGUAGAAGGAUCAUGGCUCGUCUUUUUAAAAUCAGAAUUUUUGACCCAACUGCAAUGAAUAUUGCCCGUGAAAUUUCACGGUACAAGCCUCUAACACCCCCCCCCCCCCCCCGACCUUCUUAAAGCGUCUCCCUUUGGUGGAAAUUACACAUUUCUAUGGCAGUGGCCAAAUCUUCGAUGGGGCGACUGCUGUUGACCUGCCACAAAGCAGUACCAAAUUGUUCCAGCCUUGUAAAGAUGAUUGGCCUUUUUAAAUACGCUGCGUAGUAGUUAACGACAUAAAGUCGGGCUUAACGCAAAUGCGAUGUUUAGCUUUUAUGGCAGAUCAAGCUUUUGGCUGGCAGGGAUUUUUUUUUUAUCUGCAGCUGUUAACGCCCAAUGCGUAAUAAACCAAAAUGCAGUUGCAUAAACAUUUAUAUUGUUAAAAGAUUUGUCCACCAAAAGUCCAGUGCAUAAGCUGUUUUCAACGCGCCGUUUGACGAAUUGCAAAAUGGAUUAGUGGUCUCAUGACUGUGUCUGUCAGCUGUAGCCGAGGUGGCGGUGGUGAUGAUGUGGGAGGAGAGGUGGGGGGGAGGAGGAGGAAGAAGAAGAAGCGGUAGAGCUAAAGUUGUUCUGCAUCGGUCUCUGAGUACGAGAUCAGUCGCUAGCUUAUCUCUAAAAUAUCCAGAAUAUUUUACAGCAAAACCUCCUUCGUUUAAAGCAACACAUUUUGCACCCACGUUUUUUUAUUUGCCAUUAAGUGUGCGGUGAAAAACUGAAAAUGGUUUCGUUACGUUGAAUUCGGUUUAAUUGCCUGCGGGUGAUAAUGCCGAUGAUGACGUUCAGCAGCUAUUCUGAAUUUUCACGAAUAAAACAUUUAACGAAUCGGAGUUGCGAAUCAACCACGAAUUUAACAUUAAUCCCAUCUAUAAAAUGACACAAAUCUUCAGUUGAUAAACUUUGUCGCGUUAACUAUUCGAAACGCGACCUUUGUGCCAAUCGCAACGGCACUUUAGCUGUCACGUGAUGGAUUCCGCCUCUGCGAUUGGCUGUGGAUGUUGAUUUCCACACAAAAGUUCGAUAGCCAAUCGCGCUCCUCCUCCUCCCCACCUCGUGCCACGCCGUCGCCAGUUAGGGGGACGCACCGCGAUUGGCUGUCGCCUUCCCGGCGAGUUGAAUCUUUUAAACCAAUCGCUGGGCUCGCUUAUGGAAGCGAGGGUAAGGAAACCCCCCCACCCACCCUCCUCCGUUGCGUAUCAGUAGAGGUUGUCACGAUUCAUCGAUGGAUAUCGAUUCGCAUGGAUUCUAAACACGCAUACAUCGUAUCACGCGCAUACGAGUCUAUGUUUUUCCAGUUCAUAAUACAGUACUUGCUGUACCGUCGGUUUGUGUGAGUCGCGCAGCCACGAAAGGCCGCUAUAUUCACCACUGUUCAAAAAUUAUUUUACAAUGGAUGAUCCUUGUCAUGGUAUCACCACGGUGCGAACAUUUUCGAGAAAUUUCACUAAUCGGCGGUCGGUGUGAAUCGUUACAACCCCGGUGACCGGAGCGCGUGGCGGGUUAAUUCAUGUUGGAGUCAGUGUCGCAGUAGUUAGGUAACCUGAUUACGAUUAUUAUUAUGAUGAUCACCUGUGAUGGUAUUCCAAAAAAAAGUGUCAUAUUUUCUGUGUUCUAUUUUUAAGGGGUUGGAGUCGGAAGGUGGUGGCUGGAUAAACCUUCCUGGCCACGGAAAUUGUAUUCCCCAUCUACCUAUCAGCCAAUCGGAACGCGUUCCUGUGCGUAGCCUUAACCCUCGCAUCUUGAUGUCACUGGUGCAACCGCGUGACCCCGUGUGACCCCCCCCCCCCCACUAGCCCCAGCCAAUGGUCAAUGUUUUGAGAACGAGACGCAAAUAUAUAUAUAAAAAACAGUCGCACCGAUGUUUAGUAUUUUGCAGAGGCCAUAAACUCCUGUGUGUUAUGCCCACGACGUAGAAUAAUUGUGUUUACACGUCAGGGGUUACUGUACUAUAACUCCGUGUCAUAAAAAACAACACAAGGUGUUAGCCUGAAAUGUCUCGAUCGAAGGCUAUUUGACAUCGGCUGCGGUGACUGCGUUACCUGGGUCGUCCUGGCCGUCGUAUAUCACCGUUCAAUUACCUCGAUUGAGAAGAGAUGCGUCGUCAUUCGAGGCAGAGUUUGUAGCGGGGGUUUUAUUCGGGAAGACGCCGCCAAAUUGGUUGCCAGUGUUCACGCGAACGCCGAUAUGUCGACUCGUAAACGUGGCGCCUAGAGUAAAAUUACAUAAGAAUACAAAUAACCGCACGCACAAAGACACACGCGUUCAAAGACACAACCACGCACAAUUCACACAUAGGUACACGAUUAUCAAGGAUGUGUUUUUUUUUCGGAUUCAUGCGAAAAGUUAAAUUGGAGAAUCAGGCCGGGAUAUAAGAUGAUUCGAAAAUAAGUAUAUAUAUAAAGCCAACAUUUGCGUCGGAUUGAUCCGAAAUCUUGACAUCGUAUCGAGCGAUCUCACUUGAACGAUGUUUCACCCUCAAAUUUUCUUCCAAAGAGCGGCGUCACUUGGCAUCAGGUGAGAUCACAUUUGUUCGCACAUUUUUGUAACAAUGCGAAACGAGCCCAAAAUCUUCAGUAGAUAAAUUAAAUCCUUACAAAUUGCGAAAAUCUUACAUCUUAAAUGUUGUAUUCUACAAUUCAUAGCGAGUCGAACACAAAUGUACACGUGGACACGUGUACAAGACAAAGAUCCCCCCCGUACAACCUGAACCGACUUUUUGGGGCAAGUGCUGUUCGCGAGGACACGUGCACACGCACAUACUCUCACUUAUAGAUUCGUACACACACGCUCGCACGCGCACGCGCGCACACAAACGCCAAAAUUCCCCGGAGGAAUUAAACCCCCUGAUUCCCGACACGUGGGUUACGCAGCACAGUGACGUCACGGCAGUGGUGGCGGUUCCCAAGAUUUUUUACCGGAACAGAACUCGCUCUCGCGGGGAUCGAGAGAGACAUCGGAUCCUGUUAAAGCGACAACCAUUCACUUUCAUACGGAGCCACGUAAAUGUAACGGGGUUCGGCCCUUUAUCGAUCAACUGCUGGAUGAAGGCCUCUUCCCCCACGCGGUGUCGCUCAUGGGGAGAAGCUUGGCCGUACUUAUCUGGUUGGCGAAGAUUACGGAACCUUACAAAACACGCAUUCGGCUCUUAUCUUGUAGCCACAAUGUCCAGGGCUGUGCUGUUCACUACGAGUUGAAAGCUUCGUCAACGAUAAAAAAAACAUCUACUGUUAAAGUUCCGUAAUGGGCGUGAAAUGGCAGCACUGUUGUGACAUCACUGUGACGUCAUUCUCAUCACCGUACGUUCUCAGACCGCGUGCAAGUUCAAUGACGUCACGGCAAUGCCGUCGAGUCACGGCCCCACAGUUGUGUCGACCGACACGAUGCGACGUAGAGUUUCGGUUUUUGCAGCGUGUUUAAUGAAACGAUCGCUUUAAUGGAGCUCCGUGAAGGUGAAUGGGGGUGUUGAUCGAUGGAUCGCCAUGCGCUCUGCGAACAUCAAAGCUGAAAAGAGACUUCACAAUUAGAAUUGGGGGGGGGGGGGGGGGGGGCGGCACGCUAAGCACCAGGGGCGAGGCGAGGGUCAGGGCCUGGCUGGCUGAGUUUGUUACGAUCAGGGUUAGUGCCAUCGUCUGUUUAGCUAUGUUACUCGGGUUUGGGAAAUGGUCUGGCCGGGUCGUGUGGUUUGGGCUAAAGGUGGGGUUAGAGUCUGGGUAGGUGGUGCAUUAGGGAUAUGGGUAGGGUUAGAGUCUCGGUAGGUGGUGCAUUAGGGAUAUGGGUAGGGUUAGAGUCUGGGUGGGUGGUGCAUUAGGGAUAUGGUAGGGUUAGAGUCUGGGUAGGUGGUGCAUUAGGGAUAUGGGUAGGGUUAGAGUCUGGGUGGGUGGUGCAUUAGGGAUAUGGGUAGGGUUAGAGUCUGGGUAGGUGGUGCAUUAGGGAUAUGGGUAGGGUUAGAGUCUGGGUAGGUGGUGCAUUAGGGAUAUGGGUAGGGUUAGAGUCUGGGUGGGUGGUGCAUUAGGGAUAUGGGUAGGGUUAGAGUCUGGGUAGGUGGUGCAUUAGGGAUAUGGGUAGGGUUAGAGUCUGGGUAGGUGGUGCAUUAGGGAUAUGGGAAGGGUUAGAGUCUGGGUAGGUGGUUCAUUAGGGAUAUGGGUAGGGUUAGAGUCUGGGUAGGUGGUGCAUUAGGGAUUUGGGUAGGGUUAGAGUCUGGGUAGGUGGUGCAUUAGGGAUAUGGGUAGGGUUAGAGUCUGGGUAGGUGGUGCAUUAGGGAUAUGGGUAGGGUUAGAGUCUGGGUAGGUGGUGCAUUAGGGAUAUGGGUAGGGUUAGAGUCUGGGUAGGUGGUGCAUUAGGGAUUUGGGUAGGGUUAGAGUCUGGGUAGGUGGUGCAUUAGGGAUAUGGGUAGGGUUAGAGUCUGGGUGGGUGGUGCAUUAUGGAUAUGGGAAGGGUUAGAGUCUGGGUAGGUGGUGCAUUAGGGAUAUGGGUAGGGUUAGAGUCUGGGUAGGUGGUGCAUUAGGGAUAUGGGUAGGGUUAGAGUCUGGGUUGGUGGUGCAUUAGGGAUAUGGGUAGGGUUAGAGUCUGGGUGGGUGGUGCAUUAGGGAUAUGGGUAGGGUUAGAGUUUGAUUAGGUAGUUAAUUUGGACUAGGGGUAAAAUUAGAUUCUGACGAGGUAGUUCAUUCUGGCUAGGGUUUGAUUCUGGGUAGGUAGAGUUAGGGCUAGGGUUAGAGUUUGAUUAGGUAGUUUAUUUGGACUAGGGCUAGGGUUAGAUUCUGGUUGGGUAGUUCAUUAGGGAUAGGGUUAGAGUCUGGAUAGGUAGAGUAUUAGGGCUAGGAGCUCGUCUCUGGUACGGACGUUUGUUACGGGAAAGUUAUAUCCAGGGUGGGGUUGGGUGGCUUGUCGGGGUCGGGCCGAGUGUGUGAGUGCCGAUGGUGUGGUGAGGGCUGGAGUCUGGGUAGCACUGAGCUUGCCCUGACCCCACACGAAUGUUAUCCCUCUCCCACCUUUGGCAGAUUUUGGCAUUCCGUUAUCCAUUCACUCUUCAGCGUUGGUGUCCACAUCGCGCGUAUUCAGAAUCGGAAUAUGUAUUUAUACUGGAGGAAUCCGAUGAGCUGUAAAGCUCUUUGUCACAGAUGUCCAGUAGCAACCCCACAAGGCCCAAAGCCAUGCACGACCCCUACCUCUGCGCCCCCCCCCCGCUCCGAACCUGCCCCCCAUUAUUUUUUUUGAUAAACCAGUCGCCAGACCCCCCGAGCAGUAGCAGCAGCGAUAUUCGCGAACAGAAAUUUACACCGGCAAUCAAACAACACUUUUGAUAUACUAUAUAUUAUAUACACACAACUCUCUGUCUUUUCAUCAAUUAAUUGAUUGAUUCACCCAUUCAUUGAGUUCACCGCUCACUCAUUCGUUCGUUCUGGACGUUUUCUGCCCGUCGUGUUCAUCGGUGAGUCCGCUCUGUGGUUGUGUAUCUGUAGAUACAGUCAAACUCAUGUAAGACCGCGUGUCUAGUAGCGUUAAUAGAUGCUGUAAGGAGCACGUGUUAUUAAGUAUAGCUCGCCCCCCCCCCCCCCCCGACUCUCUUCGUCUCUCUCCCUCUCUCUCUCUGUCGCUCUCUCUCUCUGAUCUCCUCUUUCUCUGCCGCUGGGAUUAUCGUAACAUGUUGGUUUUUUUGGCUUGAUUUCGGUAUUUUUUUCUUUUCUCCCUUUGAAAUAAAUAACUUUAAUAGUACUGUG